This 451-nucleotide small RNA is filed under the name Pongo abelii (Sumatran orangutan). RNAcentral describes it as "processed transcript". Lineage: Eukaryota; Metazoa; Chordata; Mammalia; Primates; Hominidae. The record is from RNAcentral.
UGAUGAUGUCACCUACCAUGGCUUCCCCAGCCUGCAGGCCCUGGCUGGAAACUUUUUCCGGAGCCUGUGGGGACCUUAUGCUGGCUGGGCCCAAGCGGUGAGUGUACCUAGGUUUCCUCUCCUCCAGCCCAGACCCAGUGGACCCUUCCACCACCACUGCCUCAGGUGGCCCUAAAGGUCCCCUGUCCAAACCCCAGUGGACUCUCAUUGCCUUCGGCCCUGUUCCCCAAGGACUCUUCCACCUCCCAACACUGUCACUAGUCCCACCAGCCCUGACCCCAGUGUACCCUCCUUCCCACACAGACUCCACCCUCCCACAGGUGCUGUUCAGUGCCGACCUGCGCCAAUCCCGCUGUGCUCAGGAGCCACCAGCAAAGCGCAGAAAGGGUUCCAAAAGGCCGGAAGGCUAGAUGGGGCACCCUGGACAAAGGAAUUCCCCAAGCACCUUCCC